Molecule: ribosomal RNA, 253 nt
Filed under: uncultured bacterium
Lineage: Bacteria
Description: partial 16S ribosomal RNA
Rfam family: Bacterial small subunit ribosomal RNA
Source: RNAcentral
GAUGAACGCUAGCGGCAGGCUUAAUACAUGCAAGUCGAGGGGCAGCAUAAGUAGCAAUACUUGAUGGCGACCGGCAAACGGGUGCGGAACACGUACGCAACCUUCCUUUAAGUGGGGAAUAGCCCGGGGAAACCCGGAUUAAUACCCCGUAAUAUUAUGAUGUGGCAUCACAGUUAUAAUUAUAGAUUCAUCGCUUAAAGAAUGGGCGUGCGCCUGAUUAGGUAGUUGGCGGAGUAAUAGCCCACCAAGCCUG